This 460-nucleotide ribosomal RNA is filed under the name uncultured bacterium. RNAcentral describes it as "partial 16S ribosomal RNA". It matches the Rfam family "Bacterial small subunit ribosomal RNA", at positions 338 to 795 of the family's 1533-position model. The record is from RNAcentral.
CCUACGGGGAGCAGCAGUGAGGAAUAUUGGUCAAUGGCCGUAAGUCUGAACCAGCCAUGUCGCGUGCGGGAAGACUGCCCUAUGGGUUGUAAACCUCUUUUAUGCGGGGAUAAAGGUGUCCACGUGUGGCUGUUUGCAGGUACCGCAUGAAUAAGGACCGGCUAAUUCCGUGCCAGCAGCCGCGGUAAUACGGAAGGUCCGGGCGUUAUCCGGAUUUAUUGGGUUUAAAGGGUGCGUAGGCGGGUCUUUAAGGGUGCCGUGAAAUGCUGUGGCUCAACCACGAGAGUGCCGCUCGAACUGGAGACCUUGAGUGCACUGACGGCAGGCGGAAUGCGUGGUGUAGCGGUGAAAUGCUUAGAUAUCACGCAGAACCCCGAUUGCGAAGGCAGCUUGCCGCAGCGUUUCUGACGUUGAAGCUCGAAAGCGCGGGUAUCGAACAGGAUUAGAUACCCUUGUAGUC